This 491-nucleotide ribosomal RNA is filed under the name uncultured bacterium. RNAcentral's name for it is "partial 16S ribosomal RNA". It matches the Rfam family "Bacterial small subunit ribosomal RNA", at positions 29 to 507 of the family's 1533-position model. The record is from RNAcentral.
GUGAACGCUGGCGGUAGGCCUAACACAUGCAGGUCGAACGGCAGCACAGUAAGAGCUUGCUCUUACGGGUGGCGAGUGGCGGACGGGUGAGGAAUACAUCGGAAUCUACUUUUUCGUGGGGGAUAACGUAGGGAAACUUACGCUAAUACCGCAUACGACCUACGGGUGAAAGCAGGGGAUCUUCGGACCUUGCGCGAUUGAAUGAGCCGAUGUCGGAUUAGCUAGUUGGCGGGGUAAAGGCCCACCAAGGCGACGAUCCGUAGCUGGUCUGAGAGGAUGAUCAGCCACCCUGGAACUGAGACACGGUCCAGACUCCUACGGGAGGCAGCAGUGGGGAAUAUUGGACAAUGGGCGCAAGCCUGAUCCAGCCAUACCGCGUGGGUGAAGAAGGCCUUCGGGUUGUAAAGCCCUUUUGUUGGGAAAGAAAAGCGGCAGGUUAAUACCCCGCUGUUCUGACGGUACCCAAAGAAUAAGCACCGGCUAACUUCGUG